Long non-coding RNA from Rhea pennata, 2052 nucleotides. RefSeq lists it as uncharacterized. The transcript has 2 exons. Lineage: Eukaryota; Metazoa; Chordata; Aves; Rheiformes; Rheidae. The record is from RefSeq and is a predicted model, not a curated record.
GUUCUUUUCUUUGGUGUUCUGGAGCUCCAGCUGCGCUGAGCUUUGAAAUAGAAGGAAAGGAUGUUUGACACGACAUUUACAUUCCCAAGAUGACAAGGAUGGAUACCCUGGCACCAGUGAGUGCACUGAGGAUGACAUUUUAACAGAGGACGCACUGCUCAUCUUGUUCAUUGACUGCCCCAAGGAGCUUUGUCACCAUGAGCAGAUCUGUGGCUGCAGCCCAUGACACCCCUUCUUGCCUCUUGCACCCUCCACAGAAGAUGCAGCCCCCUGUAACUGUCUGUAGUUGUCAAGCAAUGGUGGGUGUGAACUGUUGAGGGUUGUUUCAAGAUGGUGGGGUGGGAGAUGGAAUGCAAAUAGCUCAGGCAGUGAGGACUGAAAAGCAAAGCAACCUUUCGUGUGCGCAUGUCUUCCCUCUGAUCUGGGUAGUGCUGGGGGACUCCUCCACUUGACACAUACGUCCUUCUGUUCUGGUGCCUUUGGAGGGAUGAGUUUGAGUGCCACCACUAAGCUUUCUCCCUGGUCCCUGUAUGGGUCAGAGCCCGGUCUACAAGCAGCUGCUCCUCACUAACAGCAGCACAGUGGUCCAAUCAGUCAUAUAUUUUCAAAGUGGGGGGAGCAAAUCAUUUGGGGGAUAAACCUCAUGGUGGCUGCAGAAAAAAAAAUGACAGCAUGACAGCACAAAGACUGUAAAGGAAGAUGAUGAUGACUAACUAGUUUUGGAAGGUGACUGUGCUGGAGCCACCAGAUUUUGGCAACUACCUUGGUGGAAAAAUUUUUGAUAAUUGGGAGAGAGAGUUUGUCUCAUUUUAAUUGAGACUAACCACAUUCAGAGCAGUGUCUGUGUCGCCUAGUGUAUCUAUCGCCCUGCCUUUUCAGCUUGGCAGUCUGUUUUAUUUUUUCCCUGCAUGUUCUGCUGAUUUGAAAAAUGAUCCGUUCUUCAGAGCAUCCCUGGUAAUUUGGACAACAGUGUUGCAUUUCUUCUGAGGCUGAUGCUUUUCAAAGCUGUAGCCUGUCUUUCUGCAGCAGCUAUGCCACCUCUCUAUAAUGUAUAGCCUUAACAGGUCUGAGGGGCUGCACUUUCCCUAGGUGCAAAGAAAUCUGAGAUGACAUGACAAUCAACAGAAACAUUUAUUUUUUCAGGUAACCUACAGAUAAAGUGAGUAAUCAGAUCUUUUCUGAAAUGAAGGACUAUUAGGGAACACCAUCACUAAUUUCACUUUGUGAAACAUACUGGAGAUCUCUAAAUGAAGUUCCCAUUAGUGGUAUACUUAUAUCUGUAUACAUACAUAUAAGCAUUCUGCUUCACACUAAGGUACUCCACAAUUUUGUUUGUUGUUUUAGCAGUUAGUGGGUUCAAAAAAACCCAUGAUCUUUUUAGCAAGACUUAAGAGCUGCAUGAGUUUAGAUCUACUGACUUAAGGGAGAUAUUGCAAUACCGAUUUAGGGCGUAAGUUUUUAUUUUUAUUUUUAAAAAAUCUUGCAAACUCUGCUAUGAUGUAGGGGAGGCUGCACUGAACCCCACUGUUACAUCAAAGGUACACCUGCUUCCACAGGCUGCCCUCCAGUCACUGUUAUUAAUGUGAGCGGAUACCUGAGGGCUGAUACAACUUGCUUUAUUAAUAGGACUUGGACAGCUGUAUUGUCCUGUGAACAGGACAAUCUGCCAAGAACCAACCACCUGGAACCACAUCUUUGUUUCAUCUGAACCACAUCUUAGUUCCACCGGCUGAAUAAAGCUUUGUCAUAUGACUUGUGGUCAUCACUGUCAGGUAUAUCUAUAGGUAAGGGAAGGGGACUUACCCUAGGAGGGACAGAUGCAAGUCGCCUGCUCCCUGGUUCAGGGAUGCCUGACCAGGAAACUCCUCGAGGUUGAGAGCCCAAAUUACUUGGUGGUAUAUAGACUCUGCUUUAUUUGCUAACUAUUGAUUGAUCUUUCUUUCUGUUCCUCUGAUAAGUGAAUAGCCUAUGCCUGCGAAUUAGUAAGUUGUAUCCUACUCAUUGAUUACUUGUGUUGUGACAUUGAUUAAGCAUAACAUACGAAAACAGCUA